GGGCCCGUCGUCUAGCCUGGUUAGGACGCCGCCCUUACAAGGCGGAGGCCCUGGGUUCGAUUCCCAGCGGGCCCA
RNAcentral lists this transfer RNA (75 nucleotides) under Fervidicoccus fontis. RNAcentral describes it as "tRNA-Val". It matches the Rfam family "tRNA". Rfam says of the family: Transfer RNA (tRNA) molecules are approximately 80 nucleotides in length. Their secondary structure includes four short double-helical elements and three loops (D, anti-codon, and T loops). Further hydrogen bonds mediate the characteristic L-shaped molecular structure. tRNAs have two regions of fundamental functional importance: the anti-codon, which is responsible for specific mRNA codon recognition, and the 3' end, to which the tRNAs corresponding amino acid is attached (by aminoacyl-tRNA synthetases). tRNAs cope with the degeneracy of the genetic code in two manners: having more than one tRNA (with a specific anti-codon) for a particular amino acid; and 'wobble' base-pairing, i.e. permitting non-standard base-pairing at the 3rd anti-codon position. RNAcentral also lists the same sequence under 4 other names. The record is from RNAcentral. Lineage: Archaea; Thermoproteati; Thermoproteota; Thermoprotei; Fervidicoccales; Fervidicoccaceae.